CCUACGGGUGGCAGCAGUGGGGGAUAUUGCACAAUGGGGGAAACUCUGAUGCAGCGACGCCGCGUGAGUGAAGAAGUAUUUCGGUAUGUAAAGCUCUAUCAGCAGGGAAGAAAAUGACAGUACCUGACCAAGAAGCCCCGGCUAACUACGUGCCAGCAGCCGCGGUAACACGUAGGGGGCAAGCGUUAUCCGGAUUUACUGGGUGUAAAGGGGGCGUAGACGGUUAUGUAAGUCUGUAGUGAAAGCCCGGGGCCCAACCCCGGGACUGCUUUUGAAACUGUGUAACUGGAGUACAGGAGGGGCAGGCGGAAUUCCUGGUGUAGCGGUGAAAUGCGUAGAGAUCAGGAGGAACACCGGCGGCGAAGGCGGCCUGCUGGACUGAAACUGACGUUGAGGCUCGAAAGCGUGGGGAGCAAACAGGAUUAGAUACCCUGGUAGUC
This 440-nucleotide ribosomal RNA is filed under the name uncultured bacterium. RNAcentral's name for it is "partial 16S ribosomal RNA". It matches the Rfam family "Bacterial small subunit ribosomal RNA", at positions 338 to 795 of the family's 1533-position model. The record is from RNAcentral.